Molecule: ribosomal RNA, 422 nt
Filed under: uncultured Sediminibacterium sp.
Lineage: Bacteria; Pseudomonadati; Bacteroidota; Chitinophagia; Chitinophagales; Chitinophagaceae
Description: bacterial SSU rRNA
Rfam family: Bacterial small subunit ribosomal RNA
Source: RNAcentral
UAAGGAAUAUUGGUCAAUGGACGCAAGUCUGAACCAGCCAUGCCGCGUGAAGGAUUAAGGUCCUCUGGAUUGUAAACUUCUUUUAUCUGGGACGAAAAAAGGCGAUUCUUCGUCACUUGAUGGUACCAGAUGAAUAAGCACCGGCUAACUCCGUGCCAGCAGCCGCGGUAAUACGGAGGGUGCAAGCGUUAUCCGGAUUCACUGGGUUUAAAGGGUGCGUAGGCGGGCAGGUAAGUCAGUGGUGAAAUCCUAGAGCUUAACUCUAGAACUGCCAUUGAUACUAUCUGUCUUGAAUAUUGUGGAGGUAAGCGGAAUAUGUCAUGUAGCGGUGAAAUGCUUAGAUAUGACAUAGAACACCUAUUGCGAAGGCAGCUUACUACGCAUAUAUUGACGCUGAGGCACGAAAGCGUGGGGAUCAAACA